This 1521-nucleotide long non-coding RNA is filed under the name Eucalyptus grandis. RNAcentral's name for it is "long non-coding RNA (EGRA_LNC005371)". Lineage: Eukaryota; Viridiplantae; Streptophyta; Magnoliopsida; Myrtales; Myrtaceae. The record is from RNAcentral.
GUUUUCGCCGUUGAAGUUGCUGGUUUCUUCUCUGCAGUUCAGCGAAGAUCAGAAGCAGAAGACAGCAAGGUUUUGGAGACUUUGUGGCCCAUUUUCAAGCCCUUCCCGGCCUCCGUUGGUGUCGCCGCUUUGGGGUUUAUCGACCGCCUUGGUGUCGUGGUCGCCGUGAACUCACCGGCGCGCAAAACCGGUGAGUUUAUCCUCUAAUUCUUGCUUAGUGAGUUAAUGACGCUUAGGGGUGUUUAGAUUAGUCUAAUUAGGUUUAUGUGAUUAAAUUAUAUUAUUUUAAUGUAAAUUAGAUUAGUUGUAUAAUUAGUUUAAUGGAUGUUUAAUUAGGGCUAAUUAUAUGUUUAAAUUAGUGUAAUCUAGUUUAAGCCCUAAUUAAUUAUUUUUAAUUAAAUAAUUAUUUCGAAUUUAUAAAUAUUAUUUUAUAAAAUUAUAUUAUUAUAAUAUAAUAUUUAAUUAUUUAAUUUUCGGAAUUAAAUUUAAUUAUUUAAUAAUUUCGAAAAUUAUGCCGGGAUGACCGGUUGUUAGAAUUUCGCGCUGAUCGCAGCAGUGCAGUCGGUUUGUAUUAAUUGUAUGUUUAAAUUGAGAAAUUGAGUGAUUGAUGAUUAUGGUUAAUUAUUCCAAAAGUAUGGAAUUGAGUGAUAUUGAUGAAGUUGUGGUAUUCAACUUGAAAAUACCUGGUGUUGGCUUUUAGCACCGUAAUUGGUUUGUAUGACUAGUUGGAAUCGUUGGUUGUUAUUGUAUUAAAUAUCCAGUUAUAUGGUUUAUUAUUGAAUGAUCAGCUUUGGCGAGCAUUUGUUUAUAUAUAUGUAUCAGCUUGGGCGAGCAAUUAUGAUAUAUAUAUAUGGCAGCUUCUGGUGAGCUAAGAUCGUUUUAUCAGCUUGUGCGAGCACGAUCUAUAUAUAUAUAUCAGCUUGUGAGAGCAAUGAUCGUUUAUCAGCUUGUGAGAGCAACGAUCCAUAUAUCAGCUUGUGCGAGCUAUCAUCUAUGUAUAUAUCAGCUUGUGCGAGCUACCAUCUAUAUCAGCUUGUGAGAGCAUUGCAUCCAUUUCAGCUUGUGCGAGCCGUAAUUGUAUUGAUGGAUGAAUAGAUGGUAUGGUUUAAUAGAUGAUAUGAAUUGAUAGAUGUGUGGAUCGUAUGAUAUCAAUUGGAUUGAUUGAAUUGAUAGACCGAUGGGUUUGUCGGUAGUUUCAGCUUGUGCGAGUAUUGUUGAAUAUGAAUUGUACUGACGUGCAGGAAAGGGACUGAGGCGAGGUAAGCCCUCUAUCCUAUUUGUGUGGCUAGAGCGCCCUGAGGCGUAUUUUCUUCCUAAUUUAGUUUUAGAGGGUAGGACUCGCUGAGACGUAGUCUCAUCCCGGUUGUGGGAUAAUAUUCAGGUCCCUAGAUGACGGUCGUGGAGGACCGGAAGUCCUGGAGUUCGGAAGGUGGAGGCUGAAGAAUCGGUGAACGUGUCUGACAAGUUGGUCAUAGGACAGUUCCCUAGUUGUUGAGCCUGUCUAUUUUGUAGACAAUCCAG